GAUGAAGAACGCAGCGAAAUGCGAUAAGUAAUGUGAAUUGCAGAAUUCAGUGAAUGAUCGAAUCUUUGAACGCACAUUGCGCCCGCCAGUAUUCUGGCGGGCAUGCCUGUUCGAGCGUCAUUACAACCCUCAGGCCCCCGGGCCUGGCGUUGGGGAUCGGCGGAAGCCCCCUGCGGGCACAACGCCGUCCCCCAAAUACAGUGGCGGUCCCGCCGCAGCUUCCAUUGCGUAGUAGCUAACACCUCGCAACUGGAGAGCGGCGCGGCCACGCCGUAAAACACCCAACUUCUGAAUGUUGACCUCGAAUCAGGUAGGAAUACCCGCUGAACUUAAGCAUAUCAAUAAGCGGAGGA
RNAcentral lists this unclassified non-coding RNA (353 nucleotides) under soil metagenome. Its description in RNAcentral is "partial contains 5.8S ribosomal RNA, internal transcribed spacer 2, and large subunit ribosomal RNA". The stretch from base 1 to 120 matches the Rfam family "5.8S ribosomal RNA", at positions 35 to 154 of the family's 154-position model. The record is from RNAcentral.